Molecule: long non-coding RNA, 1880 nt
Filed under: Anas zonorhyncha (Eastern spot-billed duck)
Lineage: Eukaryota; Metazoa; Chordata; Aves; Anseriformes; Anatidae
Description: lncRNA (ENSAZOG00000012554.1)
Source: RNAcentral
GACAAUGCUGGAAAAAAAAAACACGUCCAAAAGGUCAGAGUGGGUUUUUAAGAGAAACAAAAGGUUGGAUUUAAAUGGUUUAAAUGGUUAAAUUUAACCAUUUAAUCAUUAACUCAAGGUUAAAUUUAACCAUUUUCACGCAGAAAUGACACAACUGAACACCUUACUUUUUGGGAGGUGGGGGACUAAGAAGUGAAUAAAACCCAACAAAACACAAAAAAAGAGGCUUUGUGGCGUGCCGGGGAGGAAGGGCUUUUUCUUUUUUUUUCAUUUUUUGGCAUUUUGGGGGGAUUAUUUCUUUUUGGCCCCCCCGCGGAAGCGUCGCAGUGCGGCACUGACGUGGCUCAGGCUUUAUAAAGCCCCCGCGACGCCCGGGCAGCACAGGCAGGGAGGCAGCAGCUGGGGAGCCAAAAAUGCCAAAAUUUCCCCCCGCCGGGGCAGAUUUUGCUCGAGGAAGACAGCCAGGGAGAAAAUUUAAUCCCUAAAAUACCCUAAAAUACCAUAAUUGGGUAUUUUAGAGGAGCUAAAGCGCUUGAUUUUAAGAUGAAAAAAGCUCUCGAAGCUUUUCUCGCUUGAAAGAAGCUCUUAAAGCUCUUGGCUUUAAAAGAAAAAAAGCCCCCCCUGAGAGGGUUUUUAGGAGGAAAAUGGGAAGAUUUCGGAAAGAAGAGCCCGGAGGAGCGCAGGCGGCCGCGGGCCCGGGAGGGUGAGCGGAGAUUUUUUGGUGCAGGAUCAGGGGAAAUUGGGGCUUUUCACAAGCCGCCAGCCGGAGGGUGUGGAGCCGAAGAGGAGGAGGAGGAAAAAAAAAAAAAAAAGGAGAAAAAAGGACAUUUUGGUUAAAAGCUGCUGGCUGGGAAGGACGCAGGGAGGCGAGAAGGUGGCAGCCAAAAGGCAGCGGAGGAGGAAGCAGAAAAUAGAGCAGAGAAACGGCAAAAAAUAGGCAAAAAGGAGGAGAAAACGGAAAAAUAUGAAAAAAAAAAUGAAGAGGGGAAAGAAUAGAAAAAAGAAGAGGGCAGAAAAAAGAAAAUUAGAAAAAUGAAGAGGGCAGAAAAUAGAAAAAAGAAAAAUAGAAAAAAGAAAAUUAGAAAAUAGAAAAAAAGAAGAGGGCAGAAAAUAGAAAAAAAGAAAUAGAAAAUAGAAAAGAAAGAAGAAUAGAAAAAAGAAAAUAGAAAAUUGAAAAAAAAUAGAAAAUAGAAAAAAGAAGAAUAGAAAAAAGAAACAUAGAAAAAACGAAGAGGGCAGAAAAUAGAAAAAAGAAAAUUAGAAAAUAGAAAAAAGAAGAGGUCAGAAAAUAGAAAAAAAAAAGAAAAUAGAAAAAACGAAGAGAUCAGAAAAUAGAAAAAUAGAAACGUUGAAGAGGUCAGAAAAUAGAAAAAAGAAAAAUAGAAAAUAGAAAAAAGAAGAGGUCAGAAAAUAGAAAAAAAAAGAAAACAGAAAAAAAGAAAAUAGAAAAAAGAAAAUGGAAAAAAAAUAGAAAAUAGAGAAGAAAAGAAAAUAGAAGAGACUAGAAAAGGAAAAUAGAACAUAGAAAAAAAAAGAAAAUAGAAAAAGGGGAAAAUAGAACAAGAAAAUACAAGGAAAAAAAGGGCAGAAAAUUGCAUUUAAACGUUUGAGGAGAAAAUAGGAAAAAAAAGAGAAAAAAAAAAAAAACAGAGGAGAAACUAGGAGCAGCCAGUGGAAAUUGGUGAAAUUGAGGAAAACGGGAAAAAAAAGGAGCUAGAAGAGGAGAAGAGGCGCUGGAGGAUGGAGAGGAGAGAAAUUGAGGAAGAAAACCAGAGGAAAUUGGUGAAGAGAGGAGGAAAUAGGAGCCUAGAAGAGGAGAAAAAGGCGAAAAUAGAGGAAAUAGAAGAAAAUAGAGGAAAUAGAAGAAAAUAGAGAAAAUA